AUGUGGCUCAGCUGGUAGAGUGUUUGCCUGGCAUGCAUGAGGCCCUGGGUUCAAUCCUCAGCAU
Molecule: transfer RNA, 64 nt
Filed under: Mesocricetus auratus (golden hamster)
Lineage: Eukaryota; Metazoa; Chordata; Mammalia; Rodentia; Cricetidae
Rfam family: tRNA
About the family: Transfer RNA (tRNA) molecules are approximately 80 nucleotides in length. Their secondary structure includes four short double-helical elements and three loops (D, anti-codon, and T loops).
Source: Rfam by way of RNAcentral